GAUCCUGGCUCAGGAUGAACGCUAGCGGCAGGCCUAACACAUGCAAGUCGAGGGCAGCACGGUGUAGCUAAUACACUGGUGGCGACCGGCGCACGGGUGCGUAACGCGUAUGCAACCUACCCAUAACAGGGGGAUAACACUGGAGAAAUUGGUACUAAAUACCCCAUAACAUCAGGACCGGCAUCGGUUCUGGUUGAAAACUCCGGUGGUUAUGGAUGGGACAUGCGUUGUAUUAGCUGGUUGG
RNAcentral lists this ribosomal RNA (244 nucleotides) under uncultured bacterium. Its description in RNAcentral is "partial 16S ribosomal RNA". It matches the Rfam family "Bacterial small subunit ribosomal RNA", at positions 15 to 252 of the family's 1533-position model. The record is from RNAcentral.